GACCCCGUCUGGUGACCGGCGACGCUGGGCUGGGUUCGGCGCAGGGGGUCGGGAAGCACAAAGAAGUUAAGUACUUGCCCAAGUUCACACCAAGAUUUGAACCCAGGUAGUCUUACUUCAGAGACUACGUUUUUAUCCGUGGCCAUUGCCAACCUCAUGCUCAUUCAUUUGUAAUUUGCCUUGCUACCAGUGUUUCUCUACCAUAAAAAUAUUAUGAGCCUCCAGCCAAACCCAACCUGAAGCCACCCAGCAAGGAGCCUGGGAGAGAGAGUCUAUGGGACAAACAGAUAUUUGCCUGCCUUGAUCACUCACCAUACCUAGAGAAGUGGCUGGCACCUGCUAACAAUUGAAUAAAUGCAACUCGUGGAAUAAAUGA
Molecule: long non-coding RNA, 376 nt
Filed under: Sus scrofa (pig)
Lineage: Eukaryota; Metazoa; Chordata; Mammalia; Artiodactyla; Suidae
Description: lncRNA (ENSSSCG00045009387.1)
Source: RNAcentral